AAGCUACCCAAAAUCACAACUCUGAAAAACCCAAAGUUAAUCUGCUCCUGAGCCACUAAAAGCUUCUACUUUCCACCCUAGCAUGGUGAUGUCAACUUGAAAAUCAGAGGUUUUGUAGAGUUGUCACCAGCGAGAACAAUACUGAAAGGGCAUUUCUGCAGGCAAGGUUACGCAGUCUCCGUGCUAAUCAGAUUUAAGAUCUACAGUAGAAUUAUUAUAUGAACCACUGUUUUGGACACCAAAACUUUCCACUUUCAACGGAUAUGGAUCACCGAGAUUGGUUAGACGGGAGAAACAAAUGCAAAAUCCAAGAUAAAAAGACCUGUCAUGCCAAUUCAAUUUUAUAACUGACAGAUGAUGCACGGUUGGGGUCAGAGGCGGUUGCCUAAGACCGUAAGCAAAAUAUGGGGAAAGCGUGAAAGUAGUCCUGGAAGCAACUAAUUGUCUCAGGAGAAAAGGUUUUGCAGGUUUACCUUCAUAAGGUUCUUCUUCUGAUACCAGUAUCCCUGUUGGAAUUGAUCAAGCUUUGUCCUCCAACGUAGUGUUGGUAAUCGUGGUACUCAGCACCACCAGGGGAAGUCAUCACUGUAUAAUAAACCAUAGAUUAUAACUUGAUCCGCAUCAAAUACAGUGGUCAAACUUCAGUGCACAACAUACAAAACAAGCAUACAAUGAGCAGAUAUUGAGAAGACGCCAUACAGUUCUUGAGCUUCCUAAAAAAAUUAUAAAAAUAAACAGUAUGGAAUAAGUCAUCACAGACUCAUACAUGCAAUCCAAGCAACUACCCUGAAUUCAUAGAUUGUAGCGGUCUAACUAGCACAUACAAGUUCUAAGGCUUCCUCCUCAGCCAACCCACUAAGGGACUAAUGUAAUACCCUAUGUGACUGAACUAGCUCUUUAUCCACAAACAUUCCACCUAUAAGGUGGCAGAAGCCUCACUAACGUAAUUCUCUAGCCUUAACCAACAGUAUGCAGUUAAUCUCAUGAGUCCUUCACCAUAGCAGUUAGUCCUUCCAAAAAAUUACUUUUCAUUUUUUAUUUUAGAUCCGUAAUCACCCCCAGUAUUUGGAGUAACUUUCAACAUUACAGGCAACCCACCACAUGCAGCUGUGAUCAGAUACAAGUAAGACAAUCACUUCCGGCAAAGGAUUUUUUUUGGUAUCAGCCCUUUCCCACGUCUCUCUCUGAAGUGCUACCAUAGUGGCAUAAGGAAAGUAUACAUAUCUGAAUUAUUAUGUUAACAAUAAGGCUUAUACAAACCGAUCAAAAAUAACAUUCAACGCACAAAAAGCUGACUCAGAAACCAAAAUUCAUGUACUACCUCUAACAGAUAAACCAAACGCAUGUAGUGCUUGUAUAAAAGCUUGACGAUCAGCAUUUAAGCAUGAAAGCUGAUUUGAUAAAACUCAGCAACCUCCCUUUGAAGAAUGUUUUACAACAAUUAUGGUGCUGAAUAAGACAUUAUUGACCAACAUUCAACCUAUUUGCUUUUUUCCCAAAAAAUUUAUUUGUCGAUGUGCAAAUGAUUACUUUUGCCAGAUCAUUAGGAGAAAAAGGCAUUAUUGUACUGAUCCUAGACCCCAUCAUUAAAGUGAAGGAACUGUUUAAGAUCCUUCAAAUUAAAAGUACUGAGCAUAGAAUUCUAUUAGUAAAGAGAGAAAGGAAUUCCAAAGUUGUCAUUAUUCAGUCACAAUCAGCUAACGAAGAAAAUGACUACAAGCACCAAAAAACAAAGAGCAAAAUGCAGCAUGUGCACCCGCUGCGUGUUUUCAAUGGCCUCAAUCUGCUCCACGACCAGAGUGUGACCAUGUGGCCAGGAGCAUAUGGUGCUGCAAACCGAAAUGGAGCAGUGUACUUAUGUUGAACUCUGUGGAUUUUCUCAUACCCCAAUUUGCUAUGCAAAAAUCUGUGAAUGCAGUCGUUGGUAUAAUACCAAGAAAUAAACUAACAAUUGGAAAAGCUUCUCCCAUCCAGAAGGCAAUGGCAAUCCCGUUCGAAUCCCUAUUAUCUGCUUGUAAACAGAAUCUAAGCAUAUUCAAAAAUAUGCCCAAAGAGAAAUUAUUACAGGAAUUAGAGGAGAGAAAAUUACAAACUUUAAUCACCCCGUAAUUGAUGCAGGUAUGCUAAGAAUAAAAUACAUAAAUAAAUGCCCAAAAAAUGUAUUCUGAGGCACAAUAAUCUCAAAAAUGAGGAAAUCCCCCCUCCCCCCAAAAUCCUAUUACACAAAACCUAUAAAAGAUACAAAGAUAAAAGGAACUAACCCAUUUCACAAAUUCAAUCAUUUUCAAUCAUUUUCAAAACCAUGCAAACCCAAUUCACAAAUUCAAUAAUUUUCAGUAUCCCGCAAACCCAAUUCCACAAAGUCGCAGAUUGGAAUUCAAUGAACCCGAAAGACGAAAUCCGAACCUGGAUAGGAGGGUAAGAGACGAGCUGAAAAUAGCCAACAACGAGAAGGAACAUGCGCAUAACAUCCUUGUAGCACUUGAGCAUUUCAUAGAAGGGCAAUCAGACUUUGGGCUGGAUCUUGUAGCUGUCGAGGCCGGCCCAUCUGAGAACCUCUGCGAAAACGAGAGGGAGAGGGACGACGGAGAAGAUGACGAAGAGGAAGAGAAUGUUGUCGGCCAGAUAAAGCACAUGAUUGCAGGGGCCACUAUAUGUAUGUAGGUGUAAGUUCGACUGUUCGAAUGGUUUACUUCAACUCUGAGAAUGAGAAUCACUUAGGAAGGAAGAAAAAAAAAAACUGACGAAGAAGAAGAAAGAAAAAAAUCGAAGAAAAAGAGAGAAAAAAUAAACCAAAAAAAGGAAAAAAAUUCGAAGUUGUAACUUGUAAGAGGGAAGGCGGGGCCGCAGGGCAUGAGCCCAUUAGGCCAUCUCCAUCGCUUCAGGCUGGCCCAGGCAAAAGGCAGGAACAAGCCCGAGUCCACCUCCAGCGCGACGAAACCAGCCCGGGCAAGCUGCGGGUCCCACGAGCCCGGGCAGGCCCAAGGGCAAAAUUCGACUGGGCUCGAGCCCGAGUUUAUGCUGACGUCAGCGCCGUAAAUUCGAUUUUUUUUUACCGUUGGCGCGUGUAAUACACGCGCCAACGGUAAAAAAAAUUUGACUGACGUGCGCUGACGUCGUCGUGACGUCAGCACCAACGGUUACAUGCCACGUGUCGGCUCUGGGUGGCUCCGAUUGAAUUUUUUUCAGAAAUCCUACGGUUCUCAUUUUUUUGGCCAAAAAAAUUUAAAAAAAAUCCUUAAAAAUCAGAAAAAAUUCGAAAAAAUUCUGAAAUUUUUUUUAAAAAAUACCAAAAAUGUAUGUAUUUUUUCCCUAUAAAUACCUAACCAUUUUAUCUACUUUCAACACCAAAUCUUCAUACAAUUUCUUCUCCAUACAAUAUUUUCUACUCUCCACUCACAUAAUUCAUUUUUCACACCAAAUCUCCAUACAAACUCAUCUCCUUCCAAUAUUUUUUACUCUCUACUCAUAUUUUCCACUUUCCACACCAAUUCCAUAUUUUACUCUCUACUCAUAUUAUCGGAAAUCUGAGAUUAUAAUUUUUAUUAAUGAAUAUCCGAAAAUUUUAUCUGGAAUAAGACACGUGGUAACCGAGAUUCACAUCCGAAAAUCUUAUCCGAAAAUUUAAUUACAAAAGAUUAUCAAAAUUAAUGAUUUAAAGUAUAAAAAAAUAGGAAAUAAAGUACAAUGAAUAGUAAUUGCCCUAGACUUGCCCUAGACUUUGCCCUUGUGGGUGGAACCACAAAUGGCAAGGCUGACACUAUUCACGUGAAUAGUGUCAGCCCUUGCUUGCCCUUGCCUUAGACUUUGCCCUAAGGGGUGGAGUUGCUCUUACCAUGGGUCCGACAAGGAUUUUCAAAAAUUAGUCUCGUCCACAGCCGCGGGGAUCGAACAAACGACCGCGCGUUGUGAGCUUCGCGUGGAAACAACUGAGAUACACAAGCUUUGUUGAUUAAUGAACGCAUUAUUCUUUUUUAUAGAGUCCCACAUCGGGAAAGAACAGUAGUAAUUUACACCUUAAAUAUAGGGUUGUUAUUAAUAAUAGCACCAAGGCCUUUGGAUAAAACCCCACACCUAUAAUAAUCAAAAAACAAAUAUUGAAUUUAGGUGGCUAAGUUGGGGAUAAUAUCGGUACUAGUGGUGGGUUUAUGCGGUGUUUGGUAUUAGCAUUGCAUAGUGCCGGUGGGGUAAUCCUACGAGUGUUCAAUACUAACACCCAUUAGUAUGGGUGGUGGGCCUAUGCAUUGGUUAGGUGUACCAACACCGCAUAAAAUGAAGGUUCACUACUAAUAAAACUGAGGCCUUUUAUAAAUUUUUUAUUCACAUAUUCACAUUUUUUCGUAUAAGAUUACGUGUCUUUUUCAAAUCUGGCCAAAUAAAAUGGGAUUAUUUACUACAACGUUGAAUUUAUCUAGAGACCCCAAAGACAAAAGGUUACAGUUGUGAUUGCUUAUGAUACUCUUCCAAAGUCCAACAUCUUCCACAAUUUAUGUUUAUUCAAGCCACUGAAGGCAAUUGGAUCACAUAACUACGGGGCCUUUUCGCCAUAGCCAUCUUUCUCGCUUUUAGAAAACAGUUUAACCAAAAGGCGAUGAAAACAUUAUAAGCUGGAAAACUUUAUGCGUUUAGAACUCCAAAAAAUAAUCUAAAUAGUGUCUUCAGUCCAUACACAGUUGCAUGAAAGUUGGAUGAGCAAUGCUAUAACAAGUUUAACAACCCUUUCAAUAGUGCUUAUUUAUUAUGCGUUUAGAUUUAGAACACCAAAAAAUAAUCUAAAGAGUGUCUUCAGUGCAAACACAGUUGCAUAAAAGUUGGAUGAGCAACGCUAUAACAAGUUUAACAACCCUUUCAAUAGUGUUUAUUUAUUUUAUAAAUUGGAUAUGGCGCAUGGACUUGAGGCUUCAAAUGCCAUUUGGCAUUAACAAAAUCGAUCACCAGGAGCAUAAAAGUUCAUAAACUGAAGAGAAUGGCAAAUUGAGAUGUGCAGAUUUCAUAUUUUGAUUUCAAACUCCUGCUAAAGAAACACUGGCAAUUAAAUUUCAGGAUCACAAACACUGCACGAGUUCAUAAUAUUAUAAUUUGAACAUACUGCGAAAAACACAAGUCUGAACUCUGAACCUUACAAUCUAAAGUGAUUUUGAAUUCCCCCCCUCAAGCUACCCAAAAUCACAACUCUGAAAAACCCAAAGUUAAUCUGCUCCUGAGCCACUAAAAGCUUCUACUUUCCACCCUAGCAUAGUGAUGUCAACUUGAAAAUCAGAGGUGUUGUAGAGUUGUCACCAGGCAAGGUUACGCAGUCUCCGUGCUAAUCAGAUUUAAGAUCUACAGUAGAAUUAUUAUAUGAGCCUCCGUUUUGGACAGCGUUACUUUCCUCUUUCAACUGAAAUAGAUCACCGAGAGUGAUUAGAAGAAAGGGACAAACAAAUGUAAAAUCCAUGAUAAAAAGACUUAGUGCAUCAACGCAUGAAACUAGUCCUAGAAGCAACUAACCAGUUACCAAUUUCUGCCUAGAAGGGUAAAAGAAAUUCACUAACUAAAUCACCUGUACUAUUAUUGGAGAAAAAAAAUAUCAACUGGUUGCAUUGAUUAAAUACAUGUUGAGCUAUAUCAAUCAGAGUCUUGAUUUCCCAUAUGUUCAAGAACUAAAAUGUCAAUCAUGCUCAACCAAGAUGCCACAAUACUUAAUUGAUAAUCUCAGGAGAAAAGGUUCUGCAGGUUUACCUUCUUAAGGAUCUUCUUCUGAUACCGAAAUCCCU
RNAcentral lists this long non-coding RNA (5756 nucleotides) under Prunus persica (peach). Its description in RNAcentral is "long non-coding RNA (PPER_LNC005401)". The record is from RNAcentral. Lineage: Eukaryota; Viridiplantae; Streptophyta; Magnoliopsida; Rosales; Rosaceae.